UACGGAGGGUGCAAGCGUUAUCCGGAUUCACUGGGUUUAAAGGGUGCGUAGGUGGACUUGUAAGUCAGUGGUGAAAGCCUCGAGCUUAACUUGAGAAUUGCCAUUGAUACUGCUUGUCUUGAAUGCGGUUGAGGUGAGUAGAAUAUGUCAUGUAGUGGUGAAAUACUUAGAUAUGACAUAGAAUACCGAUUGCGAAGGCAGCUCACUAAGCCGUGAUUGACGCUGAGGCACGAAAGCGUGGGGAUCAAACAGG
RNAcentral lists this ribosomal RNA (253 nucleotides) under uncultured bacterium. RNAcentral describes it as "partial 16S ribosomal RNA". It matches the Rfam family "Bacterial small subunit ribosomal RNA", at positions 524 to 776 of the family's 1533-position model. The record is from RNAcentral.